Molecule: ribosomal RNA, 773 nt
Filed under: Clostridioides difficile
Lineage: Bacteria; Bacillati; Bacillota; Clostridia; Peptostreptococcales; Peptostreptococcaceae
Description: partial 23S ribosomal RNA
Rfam family: Bacterial large subunit ribosomal RNA
Source: RNAcentral
GGUUGAUAUUCCUGUACUACCGAUAACCGUUUGAGAGAAGGGAUGACACAGUAGGAUAAGCUAAGCACACUGUUGGUUAUGUGUGCCCAAGCAUUGAGGCAGUCAAAGUAGGCAAAUCCGCUUUGAUAAUGCUGGGAUGUGAUGGGGAGCGAAAUUUAGUAGCGAAGUAGCUGAUUUCACACUGUCAAGAAAAGUCUCUAUCGAGGUUAAAGGUACCCGUACCGCAAACCGACACAGGUGGGUGAGGAGAGUAUCCUAAGGCCAGCGAGAGAACUGUUGUUAAGGAACUCGGCAAAAUGACCCCGUAACUUAGGGAUAAGGGGUGCCACCAUCAGGUGGCCGCAGAGAAUAGGCCCAAGCGACUGUUUACCAAAAACAUAGGUUUCUGCUAAGUCGCAAGACGAUGUAUAGGAGCUGACGCCUGCCCGGUGCUGGAAGGUUAAGGGGAUCUGUUAGAGCAAUCGAAGCAGUGAACUUAAGCCCCAGUAAACGGCGGCCGUAACUAUAACGGUCCUAAGGUAGCGAAAUUCCUUGUCGGGUAAGUUCCGACCCGCACGAAAGGCGUAACGAUUUGGGCACUGUCUCAACAACAGACUCGGUGAAAUUGUAAUUCCGGUGAAGAUGCCGGAUACCUGCGACAGGACGGAAAGACCCCAUGGAGCUUUACUGUAGCUUGACAUUGGGUCUUGGUACUACAUGUACAGGAUAGGUGGGAGGCUUUGAAACCAGGACGCCAGUUUUGGCGGAGCCAUCCUUGGGAUACCACCCUUGUA